Molecule: non-coding RNA, 23 nt
Filed under: Arabidopsis thaliana (thale cress)
Lineage: Eukaryota; Viridiplantae; Streptophyta; Magnoliopsida; Brassicales; Brassicaceae
Source: RNAcentral
CCAGUAAAUGGACGUCCAGUCGA